AACAUACAUUUUCCACCUAAUGUCUUCAAAUUAAACUGUAUGUUUUACAAGUCGGUCUGAUGAUUUCUUCCUUUCUAAGUGGCAACUUAUUGGUCAGAUUAAGUGCAAAGUCAACUUGAUCUUGUGCCAAGAGUCUCUGGGCUGUACUCUUCGAUUUUCAGAUCAUAAAGUAAUUUGAAGACAAGAACAGUCGUGACAGAAUGAUGAGCUUUGGGGCGUCUGACAUCAGAGCGGGCCACAGGUUUUAUUGCAUUCACUGAAAAUGGAUAUUUAACAAAUCGUUGAACACAAUUUUAUGUGGCCGUAGGCUGUGGCAAAGAGGAGCUGCAAAAAUCCUAACGCUGACAGCUACACGUGGGCUGGAAAUAUAUUUUAUGAAAAAGAAAUCACAGGCAUGCAGCACUUUCUUCAUUUCAGACAGGGUGAGAGGAGGUGAGGCACUUGAGUUCUCCACCAAGGCCAGAGCUGCCCGGCUAAGCGUCACUCUCUCUGUCUGAGGAAGAUAAAUGGGCCUAGCUUCAAAACACACAGAGAAAGAGUAAGCGAGCCAAGUAGAAAAGAGGAGGAAAAAGAAGAAAAGGGGGACAGGAAAAGAAAGAAAGCAAGAGAGAUAAAAAGGAGACACACCUUCCAGGUGCCAGUGCUUGACUCUUUGACUGAUGAGAGGGAGAGGUGGUUAAUUGCCUGGCAGAGGAGAGAAUGAAAAUGGAUUUAUUCUAAUAAGUAGCCUUGGAUACGGAGACCCACGCAAAGAGUGCGGAAGAGGCCUGUCUGCUUCUCGGUUCUCUUCAAAGAGACUGUGUAUGUGUGUCUGGUUGUGUGUUGGUGACCUUGUUUAGCAUCGAAGGACAGCCCUGGUUAGAGGCCUCGGUUCUUGUCAAAUAAAGCAUGUAACGGGAGAAAACUGAUGCUUUUUUGUUAUGUUUUUGUCUGUGUGUGUACUCGCAUUACAAAGUCUCUGCCUGCUGAGUUUAACCUUCAUAGUGAAUUUUUGUUACAGUAUCUUGAGGAAGUGUGCUGCUAAUUGAAGAAAUAUGCAGAAUUUUUAAACAUAGAUUUUUAAAUCUAC
Pimephales promelas (fathead minnow) is the source of this 1069-nucleotide long non-coding RNA. RefSeq lists it as uncharacterized. The record is from RefSeq and is a predicted model, not a curated record. Lineage: Eukaryota; Metazoa; Chordata; Actinopteri; Cypriniformes; Leuciscidae.